RNAcentral lists this ribosomal RNA (393 nucleotides) under uncultured bacterium. Its description in RNAcentral is "partial 16S ribosomal RNA". It matches the Rfam family "Bacterial small subunit ribosomal RNA", at positions 523 to 918 of the family's 1533-position model. The record is from RNAcentral.
AUACGGAAGGUGCGAGCGUUAUCCGGAUUCAUUGGGUUUAAAGGGAGCGUAGGCGGAGCGCCAAGUCAGCUGUGAAAUCCCGCGGCUCAACCGUGGAACUGCAGUUGAAACUGGCGCCCUUGAGUGCACAUGAGGAUGGCGGAAUUCAUGGUGUAGCGGUGAAAUGCUUAGAUAUCAUGAAGAACUCCGAUUGCGAAGGCAGUCCGCUGGGGCACGUCUGACGCUGAUGCUCGAAGGUGCGGGAAUCAAACAGGAUUAGAUACCCUGGUAGUCCGCACGGUAAACGAUGAUUACCCGCUGUCGGCGGUAGACAGUCGGCGGCCAAGCGAAAGCGAUAAGUAAUCCACCUGGGGAGUACGCCGGCAACGGUGAAACUCAAAUGAAUUGGCGGGG